Molecule: ribosomal RNA, 398 nt
Filed under: Rhizobium sp. S717-57
Lineage: Bacteria; Pseudomonadati; Pseudomonadota; Alphaproteobacteria; Hyphomicrobiales; Rhizobiaceae
Description: bacterial SSU rRNA
Rfam family: Bacterial small subunit ribosomal RNA
Source: RNAcentral
AACGAACGCUGGCGGCAGGCUUAACACAUGCAAGUCGAACGCCCCGCAAGGGGAGUGGCAGACGGGUGAGUAACGCGUGGGAACGUACCCUUUUCUACGGAAUAACGCAUGGAAACGUGUGCUAAUACCGUAUGUGCCCUUCGGGGGAAAGAUUUAUCGGAAAAGGAUCGGCCCGCGUUGGAUUAGCUAGUUGGUGGGGUAAAGGCCUACCAAGGCGACGAUCCAUAGCUGGUCUGAGAGGAUGAUCAGCCACAUUGGGACUGAGACACGGCCCAAACUCCUACGGGAGGCAGCAGUGGGGAAUAUUGGACAAUGGGCGCAAGCCUGAUCCAGCCAUGCCGCGUGAGUGAUGAAGGCCCUAGGGUUGUAAAGCUCUUUCACCGGAGAAGAUAAUGACG